AGAGACCGGCCCACUAUGUUGCCCAGGCAGAUCUCGAACUGCUGAGCUCAAGCGAUCCUCCCGCCUCCCCUCCCGAAGUGCUAGGAUUCCAGGUGUGGCCACCGCGCCCACCACUUCCUUGCCUCCUCUCCCAAGCUUGCCCUCCUGUCUCCUGCUUUCCCUUAGACAAACUCAUAUGAUCCUGGGCCCGCGCAGAUAAUCUGGCAUAAUCUCAAAAUCCUUAAUCCCAUCUCUGGGGCCACAAUUCAACCAACUACAAGCUUGAAUUUGGGGAAUGAGCCAUGGAGGUGUUGGGGAGAGCGUGUUCCUGGCAGUGCAAGAGCCAGGAGGCAGGAGACAGCCGUCUGCAGCAGCCCCACUCCCGCCCUCCAGGGGCUGUGCCUUCUCCUACAGAAGUACCAGGAGGAUCACGGCGCCCACAGCCUGGCAGCUGCUCCACCACACCUUCUCACUCGGUGCCGAGUGCAGCUGUUCCUGUCUGAGGAGGCUCAGUUUGGAAGCAGCCCCUCUUGGGACUCAGAAAUCAAGGUCUCCGCCUUCCCCUUCCUCGAGAACACCAACCUCUCAAUGAACUUUCACUUCUUACUGCGGUUAGCAGUUUUUAGCAAGUUAUUUUUAUCUAAUAAAAACAAUAUAUAGUUUUAAAAAUGCGAACUCUACAGGAGUUCGAGACCAGCCUGGCCAACAUGUGAAACCCCGUCUCUACUAAAAAUACAAAAAACUAGCUGGGCGCAUGCCCGUAGUCCCAGCUAUUCGGGAGGCUGAGGCAGAAGAAUUGCUUGAACCUGGGAGGCGGACGUUGCGGUGAGCCCAGAUUGCAGCACUGCACUCCAGUCUGGGCUACAGAGUGAGAUUUCAACUAAAAAAAAAAAAAAAAAAAAAAGUUGGGGCGUGGUGGCUCACGCCUGUAAUCCCAGCACUUUGGGAGGAUGAGGCAGGCAGGUGGAUCACGGGGUCAUA
Molecule: long non-coding RNA, 960 nt
Filed under: Homo sapiens (human)
Lineage: Eukaryota; Metazoa; Chordata; Mammalia; Primates; Hominidae
Description: HSALNT0371884
Source: RNAcentral